ACGCUGGCGGCAGGCCUAACACAUGCAAGUCGAGCGGUAGAGAGAAGCUUGCUCCUCUUGAGAGCGGCGGACGGGUGAGUAAUGCCUAGGAAUCUGCCUGGUAGUGGGGGAUAACGUUCGGAAACGGACGCUAAUACCGCAUACGUCCUACGGGAGAAAGCAGGGGACCUUCGGGCCUUGCGCUAUCAGAUGAGCCUAGGUCGGAUUAGCUAGUUGGUGGGGUAAUGGCUCACCAAGGCGACGAUCCGUAACUGGUCUGAGAGGAUGAUCUGUCACACUGGAACUGAGACACGGUCCAGACUCCUACGGGAGGCAGCAGUGGGGAAUAUUGGACAAUGGGCGAAAGCCUGAUCCAGCCAUGCCGCGUGUGUGAAGAAGGUCUUCGGAUUGUAAAGCACUUUAAGUUGGGAGGAAGGGCAGUAAAUUAAUACUUUGCUGUUUUGACGUUACCGACAGAAUAAGCACCGGCUAACUCUGUGCCAGCAGCCGCGGUAAUACAGAGGGUGCAAGCGUUAAUCGGAAUUACUGGGCGUAAAGCGCGCGUAGGUGGUUCGUUAAGUUGGAUGUGAAAUCCCCGGGCUCAACCUGGGAACUGCAUUCAAAACUGACGAGCUAGAGUAUGGUAGAGGGGUGGUGGAAUUUCCUGUGUAGC
RNAcentral lists this ribosomal RNA (652 nucleotides) under uncultured bacterium. RNAcentral's name for it is "bacterial SSU rRNA". It matches the Rfam family "Bacterial small subunit ribosomal RNA", at positions 33 to 679 of the family's 1533-position model. The record is from RNAcentral.